RNAcentral lists this ribosomal RNA (408 nucleotides) under Mediodactylus kotschyi (Kotschy's gecko). RNAcentral's name for it is "LSU rRNA". It matches the Rfam family "Archaeal large subunit ribosomal RNA", at positions 1892 to 2459 of the family's 2987-position model. The record is from RNAcentral. Lineage: Eukaryota; Metazoa; Chordata; Lepidosauria; Squamata; Gekkonidae.
CUGUUUAACAAAAACAUCGCCUUUAGCCCCACAAGUAUUAAAGGUCCCGCCUGCCCAGUGAAUAUUUUUAACGGCCGCGGUAUCCUAACCGUGCAAAGGUAGCGUAAUCACUUGUCCCCUAAAUAGGGACCUGUAUGAAUGGCUAACUGAGGGCACACCUGUCUCCUGCGGCCAACUAAUGAAACUGAUCUACUGGUACAAAAGCCAGAAUACCCCCACAAGACGAGAAGACCCUGUGGAGCUUAUAACCCCCUCACGCUACCAGACCUGCCCCAACCACGCACACCUGACUAGCGGACGGUUUAAGUUGGGGCGACUACGGAGCACAAUAAACCCUCCAAGAAAUAAGGGGCUCACCCCCCGCUACAAGGCCUACACGCCAACAAGACACCCCUUCGACCCAGUAUA